Molecule: long non-coding RNA, 840 nt
Organism: Panicum virgatum (switchgrass)
Lineage: Eukaryota; Viridiplantae; Streptophyta; Magnoliopsida; Poales; Poaceae
Exons: 3
Source: RefSeq, a predicted model, not a curated record
CCCCCCCCCCCCCCCCCCGGGGGGGGGGGCGUGACUGGCUGUGAUGUUGUUCCUCAGAGGCCCCAUGGGCGUCCGCGGUAUUCGGCCCAUGAGGCGCUCACGUUCGUGGCCGCGAGCAUCGGGAGGAAGUGCUGAGCCGGCCGGCGCGGGUGGUGGGCGAAGCUGCUCCGUGGCGAGCGGACGCUCCGGCGCGUGUUCAACGACGCAACACUCAGGGACACCAUGGCGUCACUGCUCGUGCCCUGCUAUGACCUCGCCACGGCCGCGCCCUCCGACGCUGCACUGGCCAGGCAUCACAGUGCCCAUAUCUCAGAGGAUGGAGAGAAUGCCAUGAAGAAGGUGCGCUACACAAUAACGAGCAGUUGGAUCUGGUGAAGAAGGAGAUUGGUGUGUCGUCAUUAUUCAGUCACCCCAACCUAUUGCCGCUUCUUGAUAAUGCCUCAAUAGCCGAGUGUUGACACAAAAUCACCUAAUUGAGGACACUGACCAUGAGGGGCUCGCGGCUCAGGUAUUGGGUUGGAGCAGACAAUAUCGUCUUGGAACAAAUGGCCUGUCUAGCAUUGUACUCAGCACCAAGAGCCUCGACAUGGAGAUUUUGUCCCUCGACCUUCAACGGGCUCUGAUUAUAAGUCUAGAGAAUUUGGAGAUUCUAUUUUGCUUGCAGAUUCAGUGUUUAUAAACGACGGGCGUCGUGUCGCUUGUUAAUGGACAAGUUCUAUACAUACAAGGAAUAUUCAUGAUGAUCUGAUUAUUUCCAGAUCGUAGCAUUAAGUAGUCUAAGUUGUUACUUGGCAUAAAAGUCAAUGAACAUGGUGACAAGCCAAUAUGCUGUUUUUUUAA